RNAcentral lists this ribosomal RNA (193 nucleotides) under uncultured bacterium. RNAcentral describes it as "partial 16S ribosomal RNA". It matches the Rfam family "Bacterial small subunit ribosomal RNA", at positions 1292 to 1500 of the family's 1533-position model. The record is from RNAcentral.
UUCGGAUAAGAGGCUGAAACUCGCCUCUUUGAAGUCGGAAUCGCUAGUAAUCGCAGAUCAGCAUGUUGCGGUGAAUACGUUCCCGGGUCUUGUACACACCGCCCGUCAAACCAUGAGAGUCACCAACACCCGAAGUCCGCUUUGGCGGCCUAAGGUGGGGGAGAUGAUUGGGGUUAAGUCGUAACAAGGUACC